CUCAAGAUCGCCCAGUAGAAAAGUGGCAGAGCCAGGAUCUGAACCCAGGACCUUCUGACUCCCAGGCCCGUGAUUUCAACACUAGGCCACGCCAGGAAGAGUGUCGGCCGUCCUUAGGGAGAUGUCGGACUGCACAGCUGCAAAAAUACAAUGAAGAACACUAUAAAUAAUCUCCGCCACUGGACAGCGAACAGAUGGCCCAGCGCUGAGUACACUGCCAGGCCCACAAGGCUUCCUGUCAUCCUGAAUGGAGGAGAGAAAGUUAUUAGACCAUUGCUGACACGAAUUCCACACCUCAACAGAUUAAAUGCUUUAGAAGCCCAACCGAUCGCGUCUCCAACCCAUCUUCGCUCCUGACUGUCAGGACCAGAAAUGGAGUCAUUUUUGUUUCCGCCGAACUUUCAGCUCAGCGUCUCAGUAACCAUCAGAUGAGGUACCCGAGGCCCAGAGAAGUGAAGGGACUUGCCCAAGG
This is a long non-coding RNA of Ornithorhynchus anatinus (platypus), 472 nucleotides long. RefSeq lists it as uncharacterized. The transcript has 4 exons. NCBI's taxonomy places the organism in Eukaryota, Metazoa, Chordata, Mammalia, Monotremata, Ornithorhynchidae. The record is from RefSeq and is a predicted model, not a curated record.